Molecule: long non-coding RNA, 2801 nt
Organism: Aquila chrysaetos chrysaetos
Lineage: Eukaryota; Metazoa; Chordata; Aves; Accipitriformes; Accipitridae
Exons: 5
Source: RefSeq, a predicted model, not a curated record
GUUCCCUGGACACUUUCUUUCCAGGAUGCAGCUUGUAUUUCCUGGCUGGCUCAUGCUUCGAUGUGCCUGAAUUGUCCUUCUUCACUAAAACUGGCAGUGUGAAAAAGCUGAGCAUGAGCCCCAUGUUUUAAUUAGAUAUGUGCCAAGCUAUCAGAGAAAUGGAUCAGAAACAGCGGUUCCAGUAAUUGCAGCCAACUUUUAUCCAUAUCCAAGAGGAGGGAGCCAUGAACUGCAGAAGAAACUGCUUUCUGGGUAGCUUGCUGACCCCUGUGGUUGUUUCUCCACCAGCUUGUGUACCAUAUCCCAUCCCAAGGCUUAAUGCUUUGACCUAGAGGUGCCUCUUCCAAGUCAAGGUGUUGUCUGACCUCCUUUUUGGAGAGGGUGAGUUGGCAGGGGGAGCUAGGCCAGCUCAGGCAUCCUGGGGCCCAAUUUCUGUGGGCUUUAGUGGGAGGUUGGCACCCCCUUAUCUCCCAGGAUCCAUCUUGUCACAUGAGAAGGUUAGUGGCGGAGCGGUGAAUCCAAAGGAAGUCUCCAGAGUCCCAUCUUAACAUCCUGAACACCAGCUCAUCCUGCCUCUGGGUCAUACCUCCUCCCACAGCCUGGGUUGGCAGUGGCUAUAUCUUCCCCCACUCAUUCCUGUGGCUUGUUUGAAGUCAGUGGCUUGACCUCAGUCUGAUGAAUGAGAAGCCACACUGCUGGACCACAGUCAGCUACAUAAGCAUCUCCUACCACAUCAAGACCUUUCAUGGAGUCAGUACAAUGCAGCUCAGCCACUCUUUGUCUAUCUGUGAGAGCUACAUCCCUCAGGGACCGGCAAGAGGACUGAAGGACUGGUGUGGGGGACAUCUGAGCUUGCUGCACACAGCAGAAUGGCUCUGCAUCAUGUAUUCCCCUGGGGAUGACCAGCACUUUGGGUGGGGAGAGCAAAGAGCAAUGGGAUGAAAGGAUGAAGGAGGGGUUUCAAUGUCUGGCCGGUUUAGGAUCUCUGCAGCACAUCAAAGGCAGUGACGGAGGAUGGAAUCACAUCACCACCUUGUGAUCACCACCCUGCUCCAUGGUAGCGGGCACAAAUCCAGACCCUCCCCUUCAUGCUCUCUCUCAAAGAGAGGGGCCCCAGGGUGAGGUUGGAGUUAUGAUUUGCACGGAGCUGCCCAACCUCAAGGCAAAGGCUGGGACCAAGGUGCAGGAGGAGGUCUCCAGUAACCUGGCAGGGGAGGUGACCCAGCAAGCAGGCUGACCUGGCCAUGGGCAUGUCUGAUCUCUGCGUCCCGGUGUCCGACUGCGCUGCCUUGCCGGCUGCCCUGGAGAUUUUGGCUGCAGGAGGAAAACAGCUUGCUGGCAGCCGAGGGAAAUAUUUCAUGCUCAGAGCCCACUGUGAGCACUUCGGCGCUUGAACCGUUCUGUAGGGAGUCUGCCAUGCCCAUGGGGUUAAGGAAACUUGUCCAACCUCAUGCCUCAGUCCUAAGGGAAAGGCAAUGUUCAGGCUGAGUGCCCCAUAGUCAGUCUGCUGUAGGAACUCACUUUCUUGGGUGUCUCUGGUAACGAGACCCACAUCCAACAUCUUUCCUACCAAACUACACAGUUGUCCCUGCUAUGAGUGCAUGGGGUUGCUGCAGUGAUGGAGAAGAUGAAGAAGAGUGCUCCUGUGGUCUACCUGUGAGGCCACAGGCCAGUGGCCCCAGAAGAAACAAGAAGGUCUCUGUCCUAGCCACUUCUUUCCUGGAUUUUCCAAAUGCAUAAAACUGUUAGGGGGUGGGUUCAAUUUAGGAGGCUUUCCGAACUCCCGAAAGCUUCCAGAGGAUGACUGACACCAUUCUGGGAGAUGGAGAUGCUGACAUAUGUGAAGAUGAAGUGAUUUCUGCUCCCUGCUCACCAGAACAAGCCCUGAACAGGAAUUUUGGUUGCCACAGUCUUUAUGAGAGGGAAGUAAAAAUUCCCUCUUCAGCCCCACCAUUUUGAAGUGACUCUGCAGUCGGAGGCAUUAAGAGUACAUUAGGAGCAGCACGGUGAGAGACAGCCUAAUGAUGUCUUUGCAGUCAUCAUGGCAUCCUUCCACAUGCUGCCUCGCUGUAAGGAUCUGCCAUCCCCAAGGUGUGGGUGAAAAACAGCAUCAGCAAAUGUCCAUCUUUAUUAUCUUAAUGUGCUGGAAAGGAGUAGCUCAUGCAUGAGGACAUCACGGCGUGCAGGACAGAAGAGAAGCAUCACUGCUGCUUGGACUGACCCUGCAUCAAACAGAGCUGGAAAACAGUUUUUGAAGAUGUAUAAUCCUGACUCUAAUAAUCCCGUCAGUAGAGCUCCGGUCUCCAAAAUGCCUCACUUUUUAUCGUCCCACAUUACAAGAUUAUCACAGUCAAAUGGAGUAUUAUUAAAGGCUGGAUUUCUUCUUUCUCUUUGCUCUGCUGCUCAAACUACUGCAAGCAUCUUGUUAAACCGAAAUAUUGUGGGCAAUAGUUCAAUGCUGAAUUGUACCUUUGGGCAUUUGGCAAAUAAAUCCCAUGUUCCUCUUGGAGUAGAAAUAUAUUUUCCAGGAAUGCAGAAGAGCUUGAUUAAAAUGGAAACCUGAGAACCCUUCAACACAGAGUCUAGGUCUGGUGCUGCCACUUAAAAAGUGUGAGGUCUUGUGUGUGGAGAAAUGUGAAAUUUCAGAUACUGUCGUCCAUGGCAAGUGGUCCUGUGGAGGGGGAAGACCAGACUCAUCACAGGCACAAACCAGCUACGGCGCUGGGCAUCGUCAGGGUUUUUCUGUUCUCCAGAUCAGCUCAGGGCUUUCAACAUGAAGAACUUUGAUUUACCUGGGAUGA